RNAcentral lists this ribosomal RNA (447 nucleotides) under uncultured bacterium. RNAcentral's name for it is "partial 16S ribosomal RNA". It matches the Rfam family "Bacterial small subunit ribosomal RNA", at positions 29 to 523 of the family's 1533-position model. The record is from RNAcentral.
AGCGAACGCUGGCGGCAGGCUUAACACAUGCAAGUCGAACGCCCCGCAAGGGGAGUGGCAGACGGGUGAGUAACACGUGGGAACGUACCCUUUGGUUCGGAAUAACUUGGGGAAACUCAAGCUAAUACCGGAUAAGCCCUUAUGGGGAAAGGUUUACUGCCGAAGGAUCGGCCCGCGUCUGAUUAGCUAGUUGGUGAGGUAAUGGCUCACCAAGGCGACGAUCAGUAGCUGGUCUGAGAGGAUGAUCAGCCACACUGGGACUGAGACACGGCCCAACCUCCUGCGGGAGGCAGCAGGGGGGAAUAUUGGACAAUGGGGGCAACCCUAAUCCAGCCAUGCCGCGUGAGUGAUGAAGGCCUUAGGGUUGUAAAGCUCUUUUACCCGGGACGAUAAUGACUGUACCGGGAGAAUAAGCCCCGGCUAACUUCGUGCCAGCCGCCGCGGUAA